This 479-nucleotide ribosomal RNA is filed under the name Candida albicans. RNAcentral's name for it is "LSU rRNA". It matches the Rfam family "Eukaryotic large subunit ribosomal RNA", at positions 86 to 571 of the family's 3401-position model. The record is from RNAcentral. Lineage: Eukaryota; Fungi; Ascomycota; Pichiomycetes; Serinales; Debaryomycetaceae.
GCGGCGAGUGAAGCGGCAAAAGCUCAAAUUUGAAAUCUGGCGUCUUUGGCGUCCGAGUUGUAAUUUGAAGAAGGUAUCUUUGGGCCCGGCUCUUGUCUAUGUUCCUUGGAACAGGACGUCACAGAGGGUGAGAAUCCCGUGCGAUGAGAUGACCCGGGUCUGUGUAAAGUUCCUUCGACGAGUCGAGUUGUUUGGGAAUGCAGCUCUAAGUGGGUGGUAAAUUCCAUCUAAAGCUAAAUAUUGGCGAGAGACCGAUAGCGAACAAGUACAGUGAUGGAAAGAUGAAAAGAACUUUGAAAAGAGAGUGAAAAAGUACGUGAAAUUGUUGAAAGGGAAGGGCUUGAGAUCAGACUUGGUAUUUUGCAUGCUGCUCUCUCGGGGGCGGCCGCUGCGGUUUACCGGGCCAGCAUCGGUUUGGAGCGGCAGGAUAAUGGCGGAGGAAUGUGGCACGGCUUCUGCUGUGUGUUAUAGCCUCUGAC